RNAcentral lists this ribosomal RNA (227 nucleotides) under uncultured Pseudomonadota bacterium. RNAcentral's name for it is "uncultured proteobacterium partial 16S ribosomal RNA". It matches the Rfam family "Bacterial small subunit ribosomal RNA", at positions 1279 to 1504 of the family's 1533-position model. Lineage: Bacteria; Pseudomonadati; Pseudomonadota. The record is from RNAcentral.
AAGUCGUUCUCAGUCCGGAUCGAAGUCUGCAACUCGACUUCGUGAAGUCGGAAUCGCUAGUAAUCGCGAAUCAGCAAUGUCGCGGUGAAUACGUUCCCGGGCCUUGUACACACCGCCCGUCACACCAUGGGAGUUGGUUGCACCAGAAGUGGGUAGUUUAACCUUCGGGAGAACGCUUACAACGGUGUGGUCAAUGACUGGGGUGAAGUCGUAACAAGGUAACCGUA